Molecule: ribosomal RNA, 253 nt
Filed under: uncultured bacterium
Lineage: Bacteria
Description: partial 16S ribosomal RNA
Rfam family: Bacterial small subunit ribosomal RNA
Source: RNAcentral
GACGUAGGGGGCAAGCGUUGUUCGGAAUUAUUGGGCGUAAAGCGCUCGUAGGCGGGACAGGAAGUUCGUGUUGAAAGACCUCGGCUCAACUGAGGGACCGGCUCGAAUACUCUUGUUCUUGAGGCAAUCAGAGGGUGAUGGAAUUCCCGGUGUAGCGGUGAAAUGCGUAGAGACCCGGAGGAACACCAGUGGCGAAGGCGGCGUCCUGGCCUGCGACUGACGCUGUGGCGCGAAAGCUAGGGGAGCGAACGGG